RNAcentral lists this long non-coding RNA (755 nucleotides) under Monodelphis domestica (gray short-tailed opossum). Its description in RNAcentral is "lncRNA (ENSMODG00000046841.1)". The record is from RNAcentral. Lineage: Eukaryota; Metazoa; Chordata; Mammalia; Didelphimorphia; Didelphidae.
GAAUUGAAGAAGAUAAAGGAACUGGCCACAGUGGCAGGAAGCUGUUUAAAACUGAAGUUGAUGGACUUCCUUCUACAUUGGCCUUGGGAAGAAAACUCUUGAGGUGUUUUGUGACCUAACCUGACUCUCUUGGGUCUGCUGCCCCUAGUUCCAGUUCUGGAGGAGGAGGAGAAAGGAGGAAGAUGGGCAUAAUUUUCCAAAUCAGCAAGCAGGAUCUGAGGAAGUGCUGCCAUGUUCUGGACUUUAAGUGGAUUAAUACCAUACCAUGGAUAAAACAAGAACAUUGGAAAAACAAGACCUCACCAUUCACAGAAAAAAAUCCUAAUUCAACAAGUUUUUCAUCAUUAAAAAAAAAGCCACUGAGGAUCUCAUCCCUAGCCAAGUGACAUUUUCUUCACUCUUUCAUUGGAUAAAAGGACAUCCAACUAAACUCUAGCAGCAACUCCAUUGGUAGAACUCACUGGCAUCUUAGGAGAACCCACGUGGGCUGAAUGGAUGCUAAUUUAUGCAUAUUUACAGACAACUAACUCCACAACUCCUAUGUGCUACACCGCUUUGUGAGUUCAAAGUUAACCUUCCAACAACAACAGGAGAAGAAUUUUAAUCGAAAAAGAUAAUGCCAGUGGUUGGCAGACGGGCUUUUUUUGGGGGGCUGUUCUAUUAAGAAAUCACUGGAAUGGCUUUGUAGCAAUUGUAACAGAUUCUUAUUUAAAUGAGAUUUUUUUUUUUAAUAAAGGGAAAAUCAUCCGAGUUUG